RNAcentral lists this ribosomal RNA (508 nucleotides) under uncultured bacterium. RNAcentral's name for it is "bacterial SSU rRNA". It matches the Rfam family "Bacterial small subunit ribosomal RNA", at positions 8 to 526 of the family's 1533-position model. The record is from RNAcentral.
AGAGUUUGAUCAUGGCUCAGGAUGAACGCUGGCGGCGUGCCUAAUACAUGCAAGUCGAACGAGGUGCUUUUGUAGCAAUACGAGAGUAUUCUAGUGGCGAACGGGUGAGUAACGCGUUGGUGACCUACCCCAAAGUGUGGGAUAACAGUCCGAAAGGAUUGCUAAUACCGCAUGUGGUCUUCGGAUUUAGAAACUGAUGACUAAAGGAGCAAUUCGCUUUGGGAGGGACCUGCGUCCCAUCAGCUAGUUGGUGAGGUAAUGGCUCACCAAGGCGACGACGGGUAGGGGACCUGAGAGGGUGGCCCCCCACAAUGGAACUGAAACACGGUCCAUACACCUACGGGUGGCAGCAGUAGGGAAUAUUGCUCAAUGGGCGAAAGCCUGAAGCAGCAACGCCGCGUGUGCGAUGAAGGCCUUCGGGUCGUAAAGCACUUUUCUGAGAGAUGAAAAAGGACAGUAUCUCAGGAAUAAGUCUCGGCUAACUACGUGCCAGCAGCCGCGGUAAUAC